Molecule: transfer RNA, 65 nt
Filed under: Dictyophorus spumans
Lineage: Eukaryota; Metazoa; Arthropoda; Insecta; Orthoptera; Pyrgomorphidae
Description: tRNA-Glu
Rfam family: tRNA
About the family: Transfer RNA (tRNA) molecules are approximately 80 nucleotides in length. Their secondary structure includes four short double-helical elements and three loops (D, anti-codon, and T loops).
Source: RNAcentral
AUCUAUAUAGUUUAAAAUAAAACAUUACAUUUUCAAUGUAAAAACAAUAAAUUCAUUUAUAGAUA